AUCCAAGCAACGAAGUCACGAUAGGUAGCUAUCACCAGCAAUCACUGCAGAAGUAAAGUCUGAGGCUACCCUCACAUUUGGUAGAGAGGCACAAGAGCACAACAUAUGAAGCAACAUGCUGCUCUCUGACAGCUUCCACUUCAGCAGACGAGGAGAGAGGGCAGCGGUUCUUGCACUUCUGUCAUUUGCUGACGGACCAGAAGAAUGUGAACCUGCCCAUCUGAUUUCGGAUUCUGUAUAUGAAAUGUUGAACUGGAGCAAAAUCAAAAUUGAAAUCCCCUGUGUGGAAAAACAGGUGAGGAAAAGGUUGGUUACAUUUGAGAGGGGAGAUGCAUCUCUUGUAUGUUCUACAGAUAGUGUGUGAUAACAUUAAUUUGGAACAAGGUGUAUCUUUCUUUACUGUUGGCUUACGUUAACAAAUGCAUUAUAAUGUCAUGACCCCUUGCGUCUGAGCUGGCGUCUAGUUGAACAU
This 472-nucleotide long non-coding RNA is filed under the name Calidris pugnax (ruff). RNAcentral describes it as "lncRNA (ENSCPUG00000017507.1)". The record is from RNAcentral. Lineage: Eukaryota; Metazoa; Chordata; Aves; Charadriiformes; Scolopacidae.